GCCGAGGUAGCUCAGGUGGUAGAGCAGCGGACUGAAAAUCCGCGUGUCGGCGGUUCGACUCCGCCCCUCGGCA
Molecule: transfer RNA, 73 nt
Filed under: Chloroflexota bacterium
Lineage: Bacteria; Bacillati; Chloroflexota
Also listed under: 2 other names
Description: Chloroflexi bacterium (cold seep metagenome) tRNA-Phe
Rfam family: tRNA
About the family: Transfer RNA (tRNA) molecules are approximately 80 nucleotides in length. Their secondary structure includes four short double-helical elements and three loops (D, anti-codon, and T loops).
Source: RNAcentral